RNAcentral lists this unclassified non-coding RNA (431 nucleotides) under Hevea brasiliensis (rubber tree). The record is from RNAcentral. Lineage: Eukaryota; Viridiplantae; Streptophyta; Magnoliopsida; Malpighiales; Euphorbiaceae.
AUUACUUUGUUCUCUGCAAAUCAUAUAUGCUACCUAUAUGUACCUUCUAAUCAUGAGACAUUAAACUGGGUUUUCUGCAGGCACUGCAGUACUAUACAACUCCAAGAAGAAAAAUCAAGAAAAUUAAGACAGUUAUGUUGCUACUACGUACAUCCCAGAUCGAGCUUUUAUUUUUGCCUACCUCUAUUUUGGUUCUUUAUUUUGGAUAUUUUCUCUAUCUUUAUUCUGCUGAGGAGAGGUUUAGAAAGAUCAUGUAUGGUUGAUCAGAGAGAGACCUGCAUGGAUCAUUUAGCAUUUUGUGAGCCUUCUUAAUUAUAUAAUUAAGUAAUAUCGAAAUGUAGUCCUGCGGUAUCAAUCUCUCUUGUAUGGAUGAUGAUCAGUUUGUGUUUGAGACAGUAUCUAAUGAUAUAUCUUUUGGUUAUUCAGUUCAA